UCCUGGGUAGUGCAGUCGGUUAACACAUUCAGCUGGUAACUGAAAGGUUGGAGGCUCAAGUUCACCCAGAGGUA
RNAcentral lists this transfer RNA (74 nucleotides) under Loxodonta africana (African savanna elephant). It matches the Rfam family "tRNA". From Rfam's summary of the family: Transfer RNA (tRNA) molecules are approximately 80 nucleotides in length. Their secondary structure includes four short double-helical elements and three loops (D, anti-codon, and T loops). Lineage: Eukaryota; Metazoa; Chordata; Mammalia; Proboscidea; Elephantidae. The record is from Rfam by way of RNAcentral.